UAUGAAGGCGGGCUGGAAUCUCUCGGGGUUACAGCCUUGCUGAAUUAUUCACCCUUGUCUUUUGCGUACUUCUUGUUUCCUUGGUGGGUUCGCCCACCACUAGGACAAACAUAAACCUUUUGUAAUUGCAAUCAGCGUCAGUAACAAAUUAAUAAUUACAACUUUCAACAACGGAUCUCUUGGUUCUGGCAUCGAUGAAGAACGCAGCGAAAUGCGAUAAGUAGUGUGAAUUGCAGAAUUCAGUGAAUCAUCGAAUCUUUGAACGCACAUUGCGCCCUUUGGUAUUCCAAAGGGCAUGCCUGUUCGAGCGUCAUUUGUACCCUCAAGCUUUGCUUGGUGUUGGGCGUCUUGUCUCUAGCUUUGCUGGAGACUCGCCUUAAAGUAAUUGGCAGCCGGCCUACUGGUUUCGGAGCGCAGCACAAGUCGCACUCUCUAUCAGCAAAGGUCUAGCAUCCAUUAAGCCUUCCCUCACCUUUUGACCUCGGAUCAGGUAGGGAUACCCGCUGAACUUAAGCAUAUCAAUAAGCGGAGGAA
Molecule: ribosomal RNA, 534 nt
Filed under: Alternaria alternata
Lineage: Eukaryota; Fungi; Ascomycota; Dothideomycetes; Pleosporales; Pleosporaceae
Description: eukaryotic LSU rRNA
Rfam family: 5.8S ribosomal RNA (bases 160-313)
Source: RNAcentral